UACAGAGGUCCCAAGCGUUGUUCGGAUUCACUGGGCGUAAAGGGUGCGUAGGCGGUCGGGUAAGUCUGAUGUGAAAUCUCACAGCUUAACUGUGAAACUGCAUUGGAUACUAUCCGGCUCGAGGAAUGGAGGGGAGACUGGAAUACUUGGUGUAGCAGUGAAAUGCGUAGAUAUCAAGUGGAACACCAGCGGCGAAGGCGAGUCUCUGGACAUUUCCUGACGCUGAGGCACGAAAGCCAGGGGAGCAAACGGG
This 253-nucleotide ribosomal RNA is filed under the name uncultured bacterium. RNAcentral describes it as "partial 16S ribosomal RNA". It matches the Rfam family "Bacterial small subunit ribosomal RNA", at positions 524 to 776 of the family's 1533-position model. The record is from RNAcentral.